This is a long non-coding RNA of Delphinapterus leucas (beluga whale), 1390 nucleotides long. RefSeq lists it as uncharacterized. NCBI's taxonomy places the organism in Eukaryota, Metazoa, Chordata, Mammalia, Artiodactyla, Monodontidae. The record is from RefSeq and is a predicted model, not a curated record.
GCCCUUCCCUUGCACUGGGUGAAUAUCCCUUCAUCUUUUCCGAGUCAGUGCAGGCACUGCCUCUCGGGAGAUAUUCCUUAGCCAGGGGCAGGGCGAGGAGGGCCUCUUCCACAGCCUGAGAACAUCAAGUUAAUUUUACAUGUGGCUAGGCUGGGUGCCCAGUUGUUUGGCCAAACGCUAAUCUCUUGAUAGAUGUUGCUGUGAGCCACACAGCAACACAUCUACAAUCUGUUGACUUUAGCAGAUUACCCUCCUUAUUGUGGGCAGGUCUUAUCUAAUCAGUUGAAGUUUUCAGAGAAAAACGGAAGUUUCCCAGAGAAGAAGGAAUUCUGCUUCAAGACUGUUAUCACAGAAAUCCUGCCUGGGUCUCCAGCCUGCCAGCCUGCCCUGCAGAUUUUGGACUUGCCAGCCUCCACAAUCAAGAGUUCUACAAAUGCUGGGUUCUUCCCCACGCCCUGACCCAUCUCACCUCCAGGACAGUCCCGCCUCCUCCCUGGGGUGGCCUCCAGGCUGCGCAGAGAAGGCCCAGGAGCACUGAGGUCCCUCCAGCCCUAUGACAGCGAGGACUGUUCUGAAAGCGCUUCCCCUCCUGCUCUCCCAGGCCUGGGGCACCGAGACCCAUCCUGGGAGCCACACCUCUGCCUCUACAAGCUGAGGGGUUCCCUCGGAGAAAGCCUCUCCCCUGUGUUUCAACUCUCACCUCCGUGCUGAUGCCACCAGACCCACGCCUCUACCUGGGCCCUGCAACGUUCCCUAGACGUCAGACCUUCAAUCAGUCAGCACAACCCCAAGGAUCACUCGGCUCCUUGGAGCCAGCCACUGCUGCCAGCUCCCUCCUCUCUGCUGUCCCAGUUUUCCAGCCUCCUCUCCAGGACUCCAGGGCCAGCCAAGGCAGGCCCGCUGUCUCCACAGCCGGGGCCAUGCCAGACAACCAUGAGGCCGCGUGUGAACCUGGCCUUCCUCCCCAUGCUCAGCCCUGCCCCAGGGUCCCACGGUCUCCCUGAGCCCUCCCCCGGCCAGGAGGCCAGGCUCCCACAGAGGAGGGAGGUCUGGGGGCUCUUCAUCCACCUCUGGUCCUCACCUUCACAUCAAGGCCCGCCCUGGGGCCACGCAGAAAGGGAGCCCGUCCCCAGGGCUGUGUCGGCAUCCUGCAGGCGGUGCCACCAGGUCUGUAGCCAACUGUCCUGGUGACCGAUUCAGGAACUGCCUGACCUGUGAUGAACAGCUUCCUCUGGUCUGAUGGAGACCCUUCCCGAACAGCCUCCCCUCUCAAAGGAGGAGCCCAGAGUAAGCCGGUGUCGUGCAUGGUGGUUCUUUUUUACACAUUUAGAGCGCGGGGGAAAAUGAAAACAUCCACAUUCUCCCUUCCUCAAAUAAACCGACUUCCCUA